GACGAACGCUGGCGGCGUGCUUAACACAUGCAAGUCGAACGAAGUGGCGAACGGGAGAGUAACGCGUAAUCAACCUGCCCUUCAGAGGGGGAAAACAGUUGGAAACGACUGCUAAUACCGCAUGCUGAAGGAGGGGAAUGAGCUGGAUUCGCCAGUGGGAGGGGUAACGGCCCACCAAGGCGAUGAUUAGUAGCCGGUCUGUGAGGUUGAACGGCCACAUUGGGAGUGAGACACGGCCCAGACUCCUACGGGAGGCAGCAGUGGGGAAUCUUCCGCAAUGGACGAAAGUCUGACGGAGCAACGCCGCGUGAGUGAUGACGGCCUUCGGGUUGUAAAGCUCUGUUAAUCGGGACGCGGUACCGGAAUAGAAAGCCACGGCUAACUACGUGCCAGCAGCCGCGGUAAUAC
RNAcentral lists this ribosomal RNA (408 nucleotides) under uncultured bacterium. RNAcentral's name for it is "partial 16S ribosomal RNA". It matches the Rfam family "Bacterial small subunit ribosomal RNA", at positions 28 to 526 of the family's 1533-position model. The record is from RNAcentral.